This 72-nucleotide transfer RNA is filed under the name Pangasianodon hypophthalmus (striped catfish). RNAcentral describes it as "tRNA-Glu". The record is from RNAcentral. Lineage: Eukaryota; Metazoa; Chordata; Actinopteri; Siluriformes; Pangasiidae.
UCCCUGGGGGACUAGUGGUUAGGCCACAGCAUCCUCACUUCUGUGACCCGCGUUCGAUUCCCAGCCAGGGAA